Molecule: ribosomal RNA, 372 nt
Filed under: uncultured bacterium
Lineage: Bacteria
Description: bacterial SSU rRNA
Rfam family: Bacterial small subunit ribosomal RNA
Source: RNAcentral
GACGAACGCUGGCGGCGUGCUUAACACAUGCAAGUCGAGCGGUAAGGCCCUUUCGGGGGUACGACGAGCGGCGAACGGGUGAGUAACACGUGGGUGACCUGCCCUUAGCUCUGGGAUAAGCCUGGGAAACUGGGUCUAAUACCGGAUAUGACUCCAUGACGCAUGUUGUGGGGUGGAAAGCCUUGUGCGGCUAGGGAUGGGCCUGCGGCCUAUCAGCUUGUUGGUGGGGUGANGGCCUACCAAGGCGACGACGGGUAGCCGGCCUGAGAGGGCGACCGGCCACACUGGGACUGAGACACGGCCCAGACUCCUACGGGAGGCAGCAGCGGGGAAUCUUGCGCAAUGGGCGAAAGCCUGACGCAGCGACGCCGC